Molecule: long non-coding RNA, 575 nt
Organism: Lycium barbarum (goji berry)
Lineage: Eukaryota; Viridiplantae; Streptophyta; Magnoliopsida; Solanales; Solanaceae
Exons: 3
Source: RefSeq, a predicted model, not a curated record
UUCAAGAAAGGGAAUACAAAGCCAAGGAAAGCAAGAAAAAAACAAGGCCAUUCGGCCAUUGCUCAAAUUUUUGCCCCUCAAAAAUCUUGUUCCAAAAAUUAUUUUCUUGUGGUAUUUCUACUAAUUCAAGGACCCUCUACAACGUGGUGCAAUUAUUUCGGAAGAUAGAGCUCUUGUUUCAUCCAUUUAACAAGUGGGUUUAGUGAAGAAGUUUGGAAGAAAAAGAUUUUGGAGAAAACUGGGAUUGAGCUUGGAGAGGCGUAAGACGCGAAAAAGGUACAGACGACAGAUUUGCUGAUCCGCCUGCUUAGGACUAUAUUAUGCUAUCUUGGAGUGCUCUAUUGUUCGGAGCCUACGUUUUGGUACAGCCUUUUGCCAUUGUACAUAUGUAUGCUAUUCAGGGGUACGACGGGGCCCUGUCCUGUCUUAUGAUUCUGAUGUGUUCUGUAGAGGUCUGUAGACAUACAUGUGGGUUCUGUAUAUGCUUUGGGUUGAUAUGCUCUGUGAUAGCCUUAUCGGCUUCUACGUGCUAUAUCUGUUCAUCUGUGAUAGUUAGUGACGCCAUUUGACUUUUA